Lagenorhynchus albirostris (white-beaked dolphin) is the source of this 2206-nucleotide long non-coding RNA. RefSeq lists it as uncharacterized. The record is from RefSeq and is a predicted model, not a curated record. Lineage: Eukaryota; Metazoa; Chordata; Mammalia; Artiodactyla; Delphinidae. The transcript is spliced from 4 exons.
GGGGAGGUAGUGCACGGAAGACAUUUACAGGAGAUGGUGCAUGGAGGACAGCCACCACUGAGGAGAAGCUCAGUGGACAGUGGCUCCUUUCCUGUCCCCUCUCCUUCCCUUCUGCAGGACAGCUUCACUGAAAAGGCUCCACUUUUCAUCCUGCUGUGAAAAAACCAGCGCCCUCUCUUAAGUCAACCAGCAGAUUCUACAGCAAAUGGUCAUGGUGUGUAGCUCAGGAUCAAAGAAGAACGCGGUGGAGAUUGGGUUGAGACCUUGAAUAGCAAUCACUUCAUACGGAGUCUCAUCAAUGAGCUGCAGCAUCUGGCGCCCAGAAUGGACUUGAAACACAGAUGUGGGCUUUUCUUUCACUCAGAGCAAUGCCAACAAGGACUCAUGACUUUUGUGACUCCUUAGCACUGCUGGCUAAAAUUGGAAAUCAUUAGAUAAAUAAAAAGCAACCAAGAAAAAGUCAGCUGUCUCUGAAGAUUGGGUGGAUCUUGCCACCGUCGCCACUCUGCCUAGUGAAGAGUUAUUAUGAUCAAAAGGACCCUGCAGAAAAGCAGAUCUUUCUCAUGUUGGUGAAGAGAAAAGGAAAUAAGAAAGAAAGGUAGGAAAACAAUCACCCAAAAUGAUCCUACAGCCAGCUUUGUUUCCCUAAGAUAUUAGUUAUCAAGCCAGAGAUGGCAGCACACAGCCCAGGUAUGAACACUGAAACUUCACUUUUUCUUCUGCAUCCUACUCUCAGUCUGGACAUGGAUAGGGAGAGUGGGUAGGAGAAAAAAAGAGAGUGGAAGGGAGGAAAGAGAAGGGAGAAGUUAUGGUACAGCAGAGACUGAAGAAUUUGUGGUUCAGACAGACCUGGAUUCAAAUCUUGCUUCUAUUACUUAUGAGCUGUUGUAUUUGGCAGGAUGGUUAAACUCUCUGAACCCAGAUUUUGGCACCCACAGAAUAGAAAAAUAAAGCCCUCUUCUGUGGUACAUUAAAAAUGGCCACAGACUUUUUAUACUUCCUCCCAGGAAGAGGUGAUAUCUAUUUUCCAGGCUUUGAAUCUGGCCUUGUGACCUCGCUUUGAUCAGUAGAAUAUAGAAGUGAGAGCAUGUCAGGUCCAAACCUAGACCUCAAGAGGCCUUGCAUCUUCCCUUUUGCCCUUUUAGACCUCCUCACUAAGCUGAGGGCAAGUGGAGACGGAGCAGCCUCAGGCAAAAAGGUCAGAGUCUGACUGUUCUUCCUGAAGUUCAAGCUGUUUUUCAAGAAUAAACAUUCCUCAAUUUAUUGUGUGCCAUUGGUUGAUUUUUAGUGUCCUGCAAUGGUUGCUUGUGAUGGUCUUUCCAGUUUUAUGCUUGGUCUUAGAUGGACUUUGUCCAGGGAAAGAUUCAGGUGGGGACUCUGUCCUCUACACUAACAUUGAAAAACGACUACUAUAUGAGAGAAAGGGUAUGGUAGUGGAGUAAUCUGUUUUCCUUUCCAAAUUCUGAGUGUGAAGGCCAGGAGAAAAAUCUUGAAUAUCAAGCCCCUUUCCCUCAAAAACAAAACAAAACAAAAAACGCUUCAACCCACAGCUUACUCUUCAUCUAUGAACUUCUACUAUAUAGUCGUGCCUAUUUGGUGAAUCACUUUGGGACCACGUCACAUCAAUUCUCUUUUGCAAUACUAUCUGGUGUUUAGUUUGAAGACUUUUUCUUUUUGAAGCAUUUCUAUGAGUGGUAGGCAGAAUGAUAAGAUUACUGUCUCCUGCUGUAGAGGCCUUACUUAAUCCCCUCCCCUGAGUGAGGGCAGAACCUGUGAAUGUGAUUGGAUAUCACUUCUGUGAUUGUGUUAUGUUCUACGAUAAGAGAGAUUUUGCGUAUGUAAUUAAGGACCCUAGUUAGUUUACUUUGAGUUACUCAAGGUUAUCCUGGGUGGACCCAACAUAAUCAGGUGAGCGCUUUAAAUGUAGAGAGCUUGCUCCAGCAGUUCUUAAACAGGAAAGAAAUAGCUACGUUAUUAACUUCCUUUGCAAAGGGGCAGCCUCUCAGAGCUGAGAGUGAUCCUGGCUGACAGCUCGCAAGCACAUGGGACCUCAGCCCUGCAAUCCAAGAACCUGAAUUCUGCCAACCACUACUGAACUUGCGAGAGAACCUGAGUCUCACAUCACAUGCAGCCCCAUGUGACAUCUCGAUUACAGCCUUGUAAAACUCUGAGCAGAGAACCGGGUUAUAUUAUGUCCAGACUUCUC